Long non-coding RNA from Daphnia carinata, 897 nucleotides. RefSeq lists it as uncharacterized. The record is from RefSeq and is a predicted model, not a curated record. The transcript has 4 exons. Lineage: Eukaryota; Metazoa; Arthropoda; Branchiopoda; Diplostraca; Daphniidae.
ACUGUUUCUUGCCAUUGCUGCAAAAAAAGAAAAUGUAAUAGGUACAAAUAAGCUAUAGGUACAAUUGCAUACAAAUUGCAUUGGCAAUAUAAUGUUUGUUUGCACCUUCACAGAGAUAAUCGACUCAUUCACUAUGAAUCAAAGGCUUUCGGAAAAUUACAGGAUUUCCAAUCUAUCAGCAACAUGACUUCAUUGGAUAUGGUUCUUCAACCCGAAGAAGAAAAAUAUGCUGCAAAACGCCUUUGGCGCAAAUUAUGGUCCUUUUCCGAUCGUGUCUUUCCGGUCAUCACCCUUCCUUUUUUUCCCGUUUCGUGGGCCUUAACGCAGUUGAGCAUGAAGUGAAACACAGGUGGAAAUUUUACUAUCGCUGCUAGUUAACACUUCACCAGUUGGUCGCCUGCAACUUUAUAUUCUUCCCAGAGGAGCGGCUUCUCCUGCUCAUUGUGCUGACUCAGUCACACUCAAGUAACUACAUCACUUAUAGGACUCCCAGAGCCACACCUACGAAAUGGAACCAGAAUACACCGUAUUUCCUGUUACAAUGUUAGUGCCAAAACCGACGACGAUGCCCUUCAAAACCAAUUGCUGGUUUAGGCGCUGACGAAGAAGCAUUCACGACCAUUCUUUGCCAUCGAAGCAGUGAUCAACGCGCAGCAAUCAAUCUUGCUUACAAAGACAGACACAGACAAGCUAUCGCAUGGAGUUGGAAUCGCAACUAAACACCGAGUUGAGUGGUUCAUUUGGAGACUUAAGGGUUGCCCUUUGCCUUCCGAAGACGGAAUUGGUGCGGCAAAUGUACAAAACAAUGAGUGGAGUAGAACUAGCGAAACGAGAUUGAUUGAAGUAUAUUUGACAACGAAAGCAAUCAGAAGGCACGCGAAAUGAGCGCUUUUUACU